GAUGAACGCUAGCUACAGGCUUAACACAUGCAAGUCGAGGGGAAACGACAUCGAAAGCUUGCUUUUGAUGGGCGUCGACCGGCGCACGGGUGAGUAACGCGUAUCCAACCUGCCCAUCACUUGGGGAUAACCUUGCGAAAGUAAGACUAAUACCCAAUGAUAUCUCUAGAAGACAUCUGAAAGAGAUUAAAGAUUUAUCGGUGAUGGAUGGGGAUGCGUCUGAUUAGCUUGUUGGCGGGGUAACGGCCCACCAAGGCAACGAUCAGUAGGGGUUCUGAGAGGAAGGUCCCCCACAUUGGAACUGAGACACGGUCCAAACUCCUACGGGAGGCAGCAGUGAGGAAUAUUGGGCAAUGGGCGAGAGCCUGAACCAGCCAAGUAGCGUGCAGGAAGACGGCCCUAUGGGUUGUAAACUGCUUUUAUAAGGGAAUAAAGUGAGAGUCGUGACUCUUUUUGUAUGUACCUUAUGAAUAAGGACCGGCUAAUUCCGUG
This 492-nucleotide ribosomal RNA is filed under the name uncultured bacterium. Its description in RNAcentral is "partial 16S ribosomal RNA". It matches the Rfam family "Bacterial small subunit ribosomal RNA", at positions 28 to 507 of the family's 1533-position model. The record is from RNAcentral.